CUUUACUGCACUAGAAAGAGCGAGAAGAGCAGGAAGAGAUGACUAGUGAGAAACCAGAAUCAAGUAAAGCAGAACACAACUCAGCUGUUGGGUUCCCUAUCAUAUGGUCUAUUUACCUGCAAGUGAGAAAUCUCAUACUUUUUCCUUUUAAUCCUUGCUAUUUUAAGUUCAAUCCAUGCCCCAUUUUAUCAAAUUGUCAUAGAUAUGUUUCUGGGUUCUCUUUUAGUUCGUAGUUGCAUACUGAAAGAUUGAAUCUUUGUUGAACAUUUGUACACCAUUUAUCAAAAUGGGUACUUGUUUUAUAUGGCAAGUAAAGAUCAGUCCUUGGUUCCCUGUUUUUCUGCUGAUGUUUGACAUGGCUAUUUCAUUGAAUUAGGCAAUUGAUAGUUCUUGCCAUAAUUUUCUUUUCUUGCUUGAUAAUUUCUAUUCAUUUCAGUUUUAGAAAUAUAAUCGACUACUAGGGUUUCUCUUUCCUAACAUGGAUUCAGAGAUACUCAAAAUCUUCCAUAAAAGAGGAAAGGAAGGAAGAAAUAAUGUCCAGAAAAUGUCCAUCACAUAAAAGUGCCAGAUUUGAUCUGCUAUUUUCCUCUUAUUGAGUCUGGAUGCAGUAUUUGGUGUCAUUGCUUUCUUUCUUGCACCUAACAUAGGGGCAUCAACCCUAAAAUUGAAACUUGACCCUCAAUAGAACUUUGUGUUUUUCUCCCCCACUUUUGGCCAUAUGCUUUAAGAAAGAAAGAAAAAAACUUUUGCCUUUUGACUAUUGACACUUGAAGCUAUGAUAUUUGUUUGCUUUUCAAAAAUUAAAGUUGGACAAUAGAUUGCUCAUAUCCUUGAGAUUCUUACUGUGUGCCUAAUUAUAAUGACAUAUUUGAAGUAAACAGAAAUAGAGGAUCAUCAGCUCCUUCUAUAUGAUGUAAAUCUUUGUAAGUUAAUCAAUGGCGUACUUUAUUCUUUCUUUGCUUAUAUGUUUCAAGGUUUAACAAGUUUGGUUCUGAUUCUAUAUGCAGAGUUGGAAGGAUUAAUGUUUCUACUAAUCUUGAUUGAUCUCCAAGUUCUCAAAGAGUAGCAAACAAACAGGUGUCAUAUUUAUUUCUAGAUUUGAAGCAUUUUUCUAUCUAAAUACUGCUAUUAUUUAUUGCACCUGCACUCCCUUGAGAAGCUGGCAAUUCCAAUGAACUUUGCUCCUCUGUUGAUGAUGAUGGAAUGCAAUGAUAAAUGCCUUGAACAUGGGGGUCUAUCCUGGUCAUGGGAGUGAUCAUACAUUAGACGGCUGUCAAUUGCUGUGGUUCACAGUUUGCUUUAUCUUCUCCUAAACUUGAAUUGUCCUUUGCUCUACAUUGACAUUACCACAUUUGCAUUUAAUUUCAAAAAGAUUAGUUGAAUUCCAGAAAUUAAGGUAUUAAAACAAUUUCAACUUUUUGCUACAGAAAUUUUCUGAAUGGAUUUGGAAAAAAUACUUGACACUAUGUAAGUGCAUUAAAGGAGGAAAAAUUUAUUAGUUUACAAAGGAUGAAAACCAGGGCUGAAACUAUGCUUAUGAGUUGUGUGUUAAACUUCUCUCUUUGGAUCUUAUUUAACACUUCCUUCUUUCAUCAGAUACUGAUUGCUACAAAAAUCCAAUAGGUCUUGCCAUUUUCUUGUAGUCUUGUUCUCAACUGCUAUGAAAACUUCUUGCAAUUUCUCAUUCUUUUCCUCCACUACCACUGUCACCUAUGCUUUCCAUAAUGGCCACACCACUCCUAAAGAAACCAAGGAAAUUCCCAUUGACUCUCCCUCCGAAGAUCCCAUUAUCCCCAUAACCGACCAUCUUCCUCAGCCAGAUGCCGCCACCAAGAUCCAAUCUGCCUACAGGGCUCAUGUAAUCCGCACCCUCUACAGAAAGAUAUCAUCAGUCAAUUCCGAAGCUGAUCAACUGCAACGCCAAAUCCAACGGCAAGAGACAGUGGAUGCCAUUAGGACUAAUGAACGAGAGAAACUCAGAAUUAAUGAGGCCUUGAUGGGUUUACUUUUAAGGCUGGACUCGGUACCUGGGUUCAAUCCAACAGUGAGGGAGGCACGGAGGAAGGUCAGCCGUAGGAUUGUGGGGCUGCAGGAGAUUGUGGAUGGGAUAUGUGGAAGUGCUGGCCAUGAUUGGUGUGUUGGUUGUGGGUUUGCAAGGGAUUGGAAUGAGGUGUUAGCAGAGAUGGAGAGGCAGGUUUGUAAGGAAAGAGGUGGUGAGGAGAUGGAGAGGUUCUCUGCUGAAUAUCUUGGGUUUAGAUGUUUGCAGAGGUUUCUGUGUGAGCCAUGAAAAAUGCUAGAGGUUACUUUCUUCUUGUGGUAUAAGGAUAUAUGUCACACAUGUAUAAAUGAAGAUUAGCUCUAAAUAUAUAUCUUGUAUUUUAGAUUUUUCUUUGUAGUUAUUCAAGUUCUGAUGAUAAUUAAUUUUCUACAUCCUUUUGUAACAACUCAAGAAACAAAAAAAAAAGACUUCAUUCAAAAGAAAAGAUUAAUGCAUUUCUACCUCCUUUUUCCAAUUAAUUUUUCUUGUUCUUGAUUGUAGCCCUU
Molecule: unclassified non-coding RNA, 2544 nt
Filed under: Hevea brasiliensis (rubber tree)
Lineage: Eukaryota; Viridiplantae; Streptophyta; Magnoliopsida; Malpighiales; Euphorbiaceae
Source: RNAcentral